GCUUAUUUCAGCAGAGCAAAUCGAAAGGGAGGAGAAAACCCUAAGGGUUUGCUCACAUUCGGCCGCCGCUUUCAACAUCAAAAUUGGUGAAUGGUGCCAUUUGAUUCCCCUCGUCACCAACGCCGAUCUUCCCUCAAAAACGACAACCAAUAGAUGUGACCUUUUAAUGAUGAUUUUCAGCCUCAAGACCUCCUAUUCCACUUCAAAUUUGACGAAGCAAAGAGAGAUCAAUGACCGAUCCAUAAGGUGAGAUUUCUUCUCCCUUUCUUCCUAUUAUUUUCUAACUCAAUAAUGAAAAAAAUAAGAAUGAAGUCAUUCAGUUGAAAUUUAAAAGCAAAUAUUAAGCAGAAAAUCACCUUUUCUAAAAAAAACUUGUGAAACGCUCUAUUUUUUAUAUCUAGUGUGCGUAGUAUCUUCCUAAUCCCCUUUGCAGGUACAUUCGAUGGCAUUCUAUAGCCAGAUUUACAGAGUAAAUAAAAAAUAAAAUUACAUUUUCUUGCUGUCAAUCACUGUAAAUUCUGUUAGCUUCUUUCUCGUGCAUUCCUUUGCUGUUUAUUUUCCUUCUCGCAUGUUCCAUUGACGUGGAGGAACGGAGGUGCACUUGCGAUGUAGCGAGGCCACUCGUGAAGGCUGCGGCAUGAGGCUACUGACUUAGGGUUUCAUUUUCUGAAACUGAAGCUUGUAUUAUUUGGGCCAUUGGCUGUGUACUUUGUUGGGUUUAGGUUUUUUAAUUUGGGCCCGUUAUUUUUGGUUGUUGGGCUAUGUAAGAAAUCGACAUUGGACUUUAUUAUUAUUAUUAUUUUAUAUUUUGAUUUGUUUUUUAGUUUGUGUAAGCCCGGGCACAAAUUGGGUCUUACAGCUAGUAUUUAACACCUUUAGUUAUCAAAAUAGGACUUUUACACUGUAUGUGAUUUAGUCCUUUCUCACAAUUGGGCUCACAAUAGCUAAAAUUAAUUCACCAAAAUUUUCAUGCUCCCAUAUAAGCAUGCCACAACACAUAAAAUAAUAUUAAAAAUAAUUUCUCUAUCCUCAGAUUAGUGGUCCUGAAAAUACUGUUCCGACUGGGCCCAAAAUCGGGCUGUUACAAUUCUCUCCCUUAGGGGUUUUCGUCCCCGAAAAUCUUACCGGUGAAUAGAUUUGGGUAUUGGCCUCCAAUGGUCUCCUCGGGUUCCCAUGUGGCUUCUCUGACUCUAUGUCUAUGCCAUAAUAUUUUAAGAAGUGCAAU
This 1225-nucleotide long non-coding RNA is filed under the name Gossypium barbadense (sea-island cotton). RNAcentral's name for it is "long non-coding RNA (GBAR_LNC004255)". Lineage: Eukaryota; Viridiplantae; Streptophyta; Magnoliopsida; Malvales; Malvaceae. The record is from RNAcentral.